UCAUUCACCAAAAAAUUUUCCCCCCUCCUCAUCUCCUCUCCCGCGCUCCUCUAUCUUCCCUCUCCCUCCCACCUCUGGCCGAAAGCCACCCACCGGCGACCAUCAAAAUCCAACCUCCGAGCACCGGUGACCACGCCGCCCAACCUCCGGCGACCUCAGAUUUGGUUUUCACCCAAAAAGUCAUCCCUCCAUCUCCAUCUCCCCUCUCCCCCUUCCCAACGCCGCCCAUCGCCGACCACGCCGACCUAACCUCCAUCUUCCCUCUCUCUCCCUCUCAGGCUCGUCUUUUUCCUUGAUGGUGAUCUAGGUUUUUGAGGCUUUUGGUUUUGGUGUGACCCAGAAAGUGAAUUUAUGGUAUAGGUGCACCUACAAAUUCUCAGCUACAGAAUGUGUUGAGUGUUGACUAUUGAGAAGCCCGCUCAAGAAGAGUGCAUUCAUUUCUUAUAACAAGCAACGUCUACAUUUGCCUCAUGGUGAAGAUGAACAAGGAACGUCUACUUUUAAAAAUAUGUAGUAAAUUUUAUUGGUCUGAUAUGAAUUUGCAAUGGUAUAUUUAUUGGCAUGUUGGGCUGUUUAAAAUUGUAUUGUGUUUCUUUUUGUGGGUAUUGAUAAGAUGCCAAGGUCGCAGCACGAGCUCCGUGCUAUUGGUUAUUGUUUCCUGUACAUCAAGGGUCUCAGAUCUGUAUGUUGGUUGUUAUGUAUGCGCCGAAUGUAAUUUGAGAACUGCAUGAUUGGUGGAACAGAGUGGAUUGACUUUUUCUAGAUUUUUAUGGAUUAGGUUAAUGCAAAAGCAUGAUUCUUUUUCAAGUUAA
Alnus glutinosa is the source of this 812-nucleotide long non-coding RNA. RefSeq lists it as uncharacterized. Lineage: Eukaryota; Viridiplantae; Streptophyta; Magnoliopsida; Fagales; Betulaceae. The record is from RefSeq and is a predicted model, not a curated record. The transcript has 2 exons.